RNAcentral lists this ribosomal RNA (1013 nucleotides) under Curtobacterium flaccumfaciens. Its description in RNAcentral is "bacterial SSU rRNA". It matches the Rfam family "Bacterial small subunit ribosomal RNA", at positions 75 to 1101 of the family's 1533-position model. The record is from RNAcentral. Lineage: Bacteria; Bacillati; Actinomycetota; Actinomycetes; Micrococcales; Microbacteriaceae.
CCAGCUUGCUGGGUGGAUUAGUGGCGAACGGGUGAGUAACACGUGAGUAACCUGCCCCUGACUCUGGGAUAAGCGUUGGAAACGACGUCUAAUACUGGAUAUGAUCACUGGCCGCAUGGUCUGGUGGUGGAAAGAUUUUUUGGUUGGGGAUGGACUCGCGGCCUAUCACCUUGUUGGUGAGGUAAUGGCUCACCAAGGCGACGACGGGUAGCCGGCCUGAGAGGGUGACCGGCCACACUGGGACUGAGACACGGCCCAGACUCCUACGGGAGGCAGCAGUGGGGAAUAUUGCACAAUGGGCGAAAGCCUGAUGCAGCAACGCCGCGUGAGGGAUGACGGCCUUCGGGUUGUAAACCUCUUUUAGUAGGGAAGAAGCGAAAGUGACGGUACCUGCAGAAAAAGCACCGGCUAACUACGUGCCAGCAGCCGCGGUAAUACGUAGGGUGCAAGCGUUGUCCGGAAUUAUUGGGCGUAAAGAGCUCGUAGGCGGUUUGUCGCGUCUGCUGUGAAAUCCCGAGGCUCAACCUCGGGCUUGCAGUGGGUACGGGCAGACUAGAGUGCGGUAGGGGAGAUUGGAAUUCCUGGUGUAGCGGUGGAAUGCGCAGAUAUCAGGAGGAACACCGAUGGCGAAGGCAGAUCUCUGGGCCGUAACUGACGCUGAGGAGCGAAAGCAUGGGGAGCGAACAGGAUUAGAUACCCUGGUAGUCCAUGCCGUAAACGUUGGGCGCUAGAUGUAGGGACCUUUCCACGGUUUCUGUGUCGUAGCUAACGCAUUAAGCGCCCCGCCUGGGGAGUACGGCCGCAAGGCUAAAACUCAAAGGAAUUGACGGGGGCCCGCACAAGCGGCGGAGCAUGCGGAUUAAUUCGAUGCAACGCGAAGAACCUUACCAAGGCUUGACAUACACCGGAAACGGCCAGAGAUGGUCGCCCCCUUGUGGUCGGUGUACAGGUGGUGCAUGGUUGUCGUCAGCUCGUGUCGUGAGAUGUUGGGUUAAGUCCCGCAACGAGCGCAA